GACGAACCGUGCGAGCGUUGUUCGGAAUCACUGGGCUUAAAGGGCGCGUAGGCGGGCUCGCCAGUCAGGGGUGAAAUCCCGCGGCUCAACCGUGGAAGUGCCUCUGAUACUGCGAGUCUCGAGGGAGGUAGGGGCGUGCGGAACUUCCGGUGGAGCGGUGAAAUGCGUAGAUAUCGGAAGGAACACCGGUGGCGAAAGCGGCGCGCUGGACCUCUUCUGACGCUGAGGCGCGAAAGCCAGGGGAGCAAACGGG
This 253-nucleotide ribosomal RNA is filed under the name uncultured bacterium. RNAcentral's name for it is "partial 16S ribosomal RNA". It matches the Rfam family "Bacterial small subunit ribosomal RNA", at positions 524 to 776 of the family's 1533-position model. The record is from RNAcentral.